RNAcentral lists this long non-coding RNA (438 nucleotides) under Gallus gallus (chicken). RNAcentral describes it as "long non-coding RNA NONGGAT008016". The record is from RNAcentral. Lineage: Eukaryota; Metazoa; Chordata; Aves; Galliformes; Phasianidae.
UUUUUGGGAUGUCCCCUUUAAGAUCCCAAUGGGAUUGGAAUUCCUUUGUCUUAAGGUGGUGUUGGUCAACCUUUUCCCUUACCUGCCCCGAGGAGGAGUUUAGGAGGUGCUCCCUCACAGGCUGUGCUGUGCAAUCACGGCUGUGUGCUGCCCUGAGCUGCGCUGCUCUUUGUAAGGAGCGUGCCGAGGAGCCGUUAAGUUGAACAGAGCUCAAAUACCCCCUCAGGAGCUGUGGUUUCCAGUGCGAGGUCACUUGCAAAGGGGAAAAGGACUUCCAAGCUUGGACAUACACAGAAUUUGUGGUCUUUCUGCCUUCAACAGACUGAAGAAAGAAGUUAACAGCAGUCAAACUUGCUACCCAUAUGGUGGAAACAUCAGGAUUACUGAAUCCAUAGCAAACUCUCGGCUGUAUGGCUGCUACAGGUAAGCUCAGAGGUU